Cucurbita pepo subsp. pepo (vegetable marrow) is the source of this 773-nucleotide non-coding RNA. The record is from RefSeq and is a predicted model, not a curated record. NCBI's taxonomy places the organism in Eukaryota, Viridiplantae, Streptophyta, Magnoliopsida, Cucurbitales, Cucurbitaceae.
UCUUUCAUUUUUCGUUUUCCAAUUCGAAGCCCAUUUGCAAAGUCUUUUUCUCCCGCCAUUGGGAAAAAAGAAUCUUCGCCCUUUCGCCUGAAUCGACGUUCGAAGAACCGCAGCUGAUUUAGAUUACUGUGUUAGAUUAUCGCGUAGAUUCCUUCUGAUUUUCAGCUGAACAGCUGCUAAAACCCUAGGGUUUUGUGUUUGAAAUCUUCUGCAAGAUGAGUACCAUGAAGUUUUGCCGGGAAUGUAACAACAUUCUUUAUCCGAAGGAGGACAGAGAUGAGAAGAUUCUUCUCUAUGCGUGUCGCAACUGUGAUCACCAGGAAUGAGAUUCAUCAUGCUGUAGGGGAACGCACUCAAGUUCUGCAAGAAGUUGCUGCAGAUCCAACUCUCCCUCGCACUAAAGCUGUCCGAUGUGCUCAAUGUAACCAUGGGGAAGCUGUUUUCUUCCAGGCCACUGCCAGAGGGGAGGAAGGUAUGACAUUGUUCUUCGUUUGCUGCAAUCCAAAUUGUGGCCACAGAUGGAGAGAUUAACAUCACCGAAAUGCAAUCCAAGUUAUCUUAGCAUGUCUGUGUGUCACCAAGUGUUUUAACCAUCUUGUGUAUGUGGGUUGAUAAGGACCUACACAAAGAUGGACCUGGGACAAUGCUAAUUUACUAAUAUCGUGAAAAUAACGUUGAAAUGUUAGAAAAAUGAUCUCAAGAUUCACUAUAUUUCGUUCCAUAUACUUUCAAUUUGUACUUCCAAUAAAUCUAAAAUAAAAUUUUUCAUUCAA